GCACAAUGUCGCGCACAGGCAUGGCAUACCCCUUGGUGAGGUGGGGGCACCGCCAGAUGACCCUGACCCAGGACCAGUAUAUGUGCAGCACAAUCAACAAGCCAUUCAGGCCCGUCAACGUGUAAUUGCGACAAUAUAAAUGAACAGCAUGCAUCAAGACACGGCCAGAUGGAUGGGCUUCAGCACUGGGGGGAACAUUAGAGACACGGGAGACGCUGGACUGAAUGGGCUCUGACUGCUCAGGUGGUGCGGACUCUGAGUGCGUGCCAGUGGACGUUCCUGCGGUUCCUAAGUCCAAAUACACAAAGGCACAUCUUAACAAGACAACAUCCUGGAGGCUGUUAAAGCAGAAGACCUUAUGACAGAUGAAGAGAUCACGGUAAAAACAAGGUUACAAUGUACAAGGUUUUUAGUAUGAGGUGGCAUUCACAACUUUUACAAGGCUGGUAAAAACUGAAUCAACUUCUAAAAAUACUUUUAUAUUAUACUAUUAUAGGAUCUGGAGAAAAACCUGCUAAGUGGGCAUGUUCUGUCUAACAAAAUGUAUCUGUGGAAACACAAAGGAUUUGAUCCUCUCCUCAGAAAACAUUACAGCAAACAUGUGACUUUAUUCAAUGACAUGAAGACAGACGAGGUUUAUCCAGAGACUGGAAAAAAUACUGACAGUACCUGGAACUGUAGCUGAGAAGCAGCUAUUCAUAACAGAGGUCAUUUUGCCAGAGAAUCUGUGCUUCUAACCACCACACCUUCAAAGAAAAAGAAAGGAGCUGCAAGAAAGGCAGCUGAAGAAACCGAGACCACCGAAGAGGAAACCCUUCUUAUCCUACAUAGCCUGGCUGCAGCUGACUGGUGCGAUAAGGCAACAUUCAAUGGAGGACUGAAACUCCCUGCUGCCCUUUUUAUGGACAGAGAAGAAAGAAAAGAAGCCAUCCAGGAGAUGGACCCCUGGGAUGGGGAACUGGAUGAGGAUUCUCCAGCAGAACUUUUUACAUUCGUUUUUGAAAGAAAAAAGGACUACGACAACUUCUGGGAAGAAUGUGUUGAUAAAAACAAUUACAGACUGUUUACAAGAUUUGAG
Molecule: long non-coding RNA, 1078 nt
Organism: Esox lucius (northern pike)
Lineage: Eukaryota; Metazoa; Chordata; Actinopteri; Esociformes; Esocidae
Source: Ensembl